RNAcentral lists this transfer RNA (76 nucleotides) under Coprobacillus sp. AM09-26. RNAcentral's name for it is "tRNA-Val". It matches the Rfam family "tRNA". Rfam says of the family: Transfer RNA (tRNA) molecules are approximately 80 nucleotides in length. Their secondary structure includes four short double-helical elements and three loops (D, anti-codon, and T loops). Further hydrogen bonds mediate the characteristic L-shaped molecular structure. tRNAs have two regions of fundamental functional importance: the anti-codon, which is responsible for specific mRNA codon recognition, and the 3' end, to which the tRNAs corresponding amino acid is attached (by aminoacyl-tRNA synthetases). tRNAs cope with the degeneracy of the genetic code in two manners: having more than one tRNA (with a specific anti-codon) for a particular amino acid; and 'wobble' base-pairing, i.e. permitting non-standard base-pairing at the 3rd anti-codon position. The record is from RNAcentral. Lineage: Bacteria; Bacillati; Bacillota; Erysipelotrichia; Erysipelotrichales; Coprobacillaceae.
GGAGGUUUAGCUCAGUUGGGAGAGCAUCUGCCUUACAAGCAGAGGGUCAGCGGUUCGAGUCCGUUAACCUCCACGA